AUUAGUUUGCAAAAAGUAUAAUUUGAUUCAAAUUUGAAUGGUAGGUCCAAGGUCGUUUUUUGACAUUUUUAAAAUCGGCCAAAAUUACAAUAUUCGAUCCACAGUGUUUAUUUACUUGAAAGCCCAAUAUUUGUAUUUUUUCUUGGAAAAUUGUGUGAAUAUCAUGUCGCUUAUUCCAUUUUUCACUAUCCAUAUUGAUUUAAAAUCUGUAUGAAUAUUUUUAUUCCCAAAAUCCAUCAAGUACUGGUACUGUAAUAUUUGGCAGAAAUGGACUUUUAACAGUCUACUCUUUAACAUUGAGUUUAACUGUUGAAAAUUAGCCCAAAACUGUUUCUGAUCAAACUAAUUUCGCUUUAAGGAUGAGGCCUGGGUAUAUUAGUUUGCAAAAAGUAUAAUUUGAUUCAAAUUUGAAUGGUAGGUCCAAGGUCGUUUUUUGACAUUUUUAAAAUCGGCCAAAAUUACAAUAUUCGAUCCACAGUGUUUAUUUACUUGAAAGCCCAAUAUUUGUAUUUUUUCUUGGAAAAUUGUGUGAAUAUCAUGUCGCUUAUUCCAUUUUUCACUAUCC
Molecule: non-coding RNA, 565 nt
Organism: Paramuricea clavata
Lineage: Eukaryota; Metazoa; Cnidaria; Anthozoa; Malacalcyonacea; Plexauridae
Source: the annotation of a GenBank genome assembly